Long non-coding RNA from Puntigrus tetrazona (Sumatra barb), 635 nucleotides. RefSeq lists it as uncharacterized. The record is from RefSeq and is a predicted model, not a curated record. Lineage: Eukaryota; Metazoa; Chordata; Actinopteri; Cypriniformes; Cyprinidae. The transcript is spliced from 3 exons.
CAGUUCGCCCCAGGCUCGCCGUGAACAUGCGAAGACAUGCAAUCAAGGCAAAACAACAGGUCCAUGCAAAUGAGAGCGAGACCCUGACAUAUGAAAGCAGCGCGCGCCUCAGGAAAUGCUGUAAUGGGGAAGUUCUCUCUCCCUGUCACAAGACACGGAACAGAGAAGAAAGAGACUCACAGAAGAACUUCUAAAAACAUCCUGAGGAAACACAGCCACAAAGAGAAAGUUGAGAGGGAGGGAGAGGAAUCGUUAGGCUCUCUUCACAAAUGCACCCCUUUAAGAGCAUUGAAGGCAUCAAGCACGCUUCCAUUAGAUAGAAUAUGAACAGAGGCGUCGCAGGCCUUUUGUAUCUCUUUGCACAUUUGUGACUGACAAAACUUACACGGGCUGAUCUGCAGCAGAUUGAGUCUUCUUCCAUGACUGAAAUGAAAUAUUUGUUUUUCCACAAACUGGCAACCCAGGGUUCCCAAACACUACUGGGUAAACUGACAGUGAUUGACAAAAAUUGUCUAUAGCAUUGUUUUUUAGAUAAACAAGUAUGUUAACGUAGCAUGUUUCCUAAAUAUCUGCAAACAUAUUAUAGUAUUGUUAGGCUUAAGUAGAGUCAAAGAUCCACGUACUGCACCUUUAAU